This 239-nucleotide ribosomal RNA is filed under the name uncultured bacterium. Its description in RNAcentral is "partial 16S ribosomal RNA". It matches the Rfam family "Bacterial small subunit ribosomal RNA", at positions 96 to 334 of the family's 1533-position model. The record is from RNAcentral.
CGGCGGACGGGUGAGUAACGCGUGGGUAACCGUGCCUCAUACAGGGGGAUAACAGUUGGAAACGGCUGCUAAUACCGCAUAAGCGCACAGUACCGCAUGGUACGGUGUGAAAAACUCCGGUGGUAUGAGAUGGUCCCGCGUCUGAUUAGGUAGUUGGUGGGGUAACGGCCUACCAAGCCGACGAUCAGUAGCCGACCUGAGAGGGUGACCGGCCACAUUGGGACUGAGACACGGCCCAA